RNAcentral lists this ribosomal RNA (636 nucleotides) under Triticum aestivum (bread wheat). Its description in RNAcentral is "partial small subunit ribosomal RNA". Lineage: Eukaryota; Viridiplantae; Streptophyta; Magnoliopsida; Poales; Poaceae. The record is from RNAcentral.
AUGGACCCUUCUCGCCCAUGGCAUCACCCGCAGCUCCCCUCCGACGGCGUGACUAGUCAUUUCUUCCGCGCCUCUACAUCUUGGCGCCUUGGCGAUGGGAGAACUUGUCGUUUCUGGAGUGAUCACUGGCUUGAUGGGCAGGCCAUCUCCGACACUGCCCCUGCCCUUCUAUCUCUCGUACCACGUCGACGGCGACGCUGCAUGCUGGUUUGCGAGGGCCUCAUGCAGUGAGCCUGGAUCAGCAAUAUCCAUGGCGCCUUAGGGCCACUGGAGGUCAUCAAGUAUGUCAACCUAUGGCGCAAACUACAAGGAAUAACCCUCACCUCCGAGCCCGAUCGCAUCACCUGGAGGUGGACGACAGGCUCUGUUCCACGGAUCUACCUCGCCGCCAUGCUGGAAAUUUCUAUGGAAGAGUUGGGCCCUUCUCAACAACAAGGUGUUUCUCUGGCUUGCAACCAUCGACCGAUGCUAGACGGCGGAGCACCGCGCGUGCCAUGGCCUCUCCCAAGAUCCUACCUGCAUCCUGUGCUCCCAGGAGACAGAGUCUAUCGACCAUCUUCUCUCGAGUGUGUUAUCCCGGAUCACCUGGCACGAAAUACUCUCAUGGUGUCGUGGCCCGUCCCCGUUGGAGGUUAA